Molecule: ribosomal RNA, 256 nt
Filed under: uncultured bacterium
Lineage: Bacteria
Description: partial 16S ribosomal RNA
Rfam family: Bacterial small subunit ribosomal RNA
Source: RNAcentral
UACGAAGGGGGCUAGCGUUGCUCGGAAUCACUGGGCGUAAAGCGCACGUAGGCGGAUUGCUAAGUCAGGGGUGAAAUCCUGGAGCUCAACUCCAGAACUGCCUUUGAUACUGGCGACCUUGAGUCCGGGAGAGGUGAGUGGAACUGCGAGUGUAGAGGUGAAAUUCGUAGAUAUUCGCAAGAACACCAGUGGCGAAGGCGGCUCACUGGCCCGGUACUGACGCUGAGGUGCGAAAGCGUGGGGAGCGAACGGGAGU